GAAGGCAUCUAAGCGGGAAGCCUGUUCCAAGAUGAGGUAUCCCACCCCCUUUGAGGGGUUAAGGCCCCCAACAGACCAUUGGGUUGAUAGGCCAGAAAUGGACGCACAGUAAUGUGUUAUCGAGUUGACUGGUACUAAUAGGCCGAGGGCUUGCCCAC
Molecule: ribosomal RNA, 158 nt
Filed under: Amycolatopsis xylanica
Lineage: Bacteria; Bacillati; Actinomycetota; Actinomycetes; Pseudonocardiales; Pseudonocardiaceae
Description: Bacterial large subunit ribosomal RNA
Rfam family: Bacterial large subunit ribosomal RNA
Source: Rfam by way of RNAcentral